RNAcentral lists this long non-coding RNA (251 nucleotides) under Pan troglodytes (chimpanzee). RNAcentral describes it as "long non-coding RNA NONPTRT000872". Lineage: Eukaryota; Metazoa; Chordata; Mammalia; Primates; Hominidae. The record is from RNAcentral.
CAGAAAUGAACCUGACAAAAUGGAGCUGGUGACAGUUUUCCUUUCUCUAAAAAACUUCUACCGAAACAGACUCUAUUAAUCGCGGGUGCAGCUACUAUUCCAAGAAACUGCGUGAAGACAUUUUUUUCUUUCUCAGUAGCUGUUCAUCACCGUGAAGGAGACGAUGACGAGGUUCCCAACCCAAGCACUGGGCUACGCGCCUCUUCCACGCUGCACGAGACGAGAAGUCCAGCCCAUUUGAGUCCCAAGAU